Molecule: ribosomal RNA, 522 nt
Filed under: uncultured bacterium
Lineage: Bacteria
Description: bacterial SSU rRNA
Rfam family: Bacterial small subunit ribosomal RNA
Source: RNAcentral
CAGGACGAACGCUGGCGGCGUGCCUAAUACAUGCAAGUCGAACGGUCUUUCUAUGGAAGCUUGCUUCCACUGAGAAGAUAGUGGCGAAACGGGUGAGUAACACGUGGGUAACCUGCCCAUAAGAGGGGGGAUAACAUCCGGAAACGGGUGCUAAUACCGCAUAGUUUUCUUGAUCGCAUGAUUGAGAAAGGAAAGACGGCCUUUGUGCUGUCGCUUAUGGAUGGACCCGCGGCGUAUUAGUUAGUUGGUGAGGUAACGGCUCACCAAGACGAUGAUACGUAGCCGACCUGAGAGGGUGAUCGGCCACAUUGGGACUGAGACACGGCCCAAACUCCUACGGGAGGCAGCAGUAGGGAAUCUUCCGCAAUGGACGAAAGUCUGACGGAGCAACGCCGCGUGAGUGAAAGAAGGUUUUCGGAUCGUAAAACUCUGUUGUCAGAGAAGAACAAGUUGGAGAGUAACUGCUCCAGCCUUGACGGUAUCUGACCAGAAAGCCACGGCUAACUACGUGCCAGCCGCCGC